UCCUCUUGAUGGUAUCAGAGCUUUAUUUUAUCCAUCUUGUGUGUUUAAGUCUAUCUUGUUGCUAGAUCCUACCCACAACUUAGAAUCAAUUGAGAAAGCCUAAAUAGCUGUCAAAAUAUCUUUGCUUAUAACCGGACUACGAUUGUCAACAGACGUAAGGUGUAAUUGGGCAAGAAGUCCCUAAAGAAACACUGAAAAGGUGAGACAAUCUAAGAAAGAAAUAAGCAAGGGGAAAUCUGAUGGUCAGAAAGGCUUAAGGUUGAUGUCUGAAAAAUGGGAAGAGUCUAUACAACAAUGGUAUAUUAACUCACACACCUCUAAGAUAGAUUACCUUGACCUUGCCGAAAGCAAGAACCCAACUCGG
This 364-nucleotide long non-coding RNA is filed under the name Musa acuminata (dwarf banana). RNAcentral describes it as "long non-coding RNA (MACU_LNC011416)". Lineage: Eukaryota; Viridiplantae; Streptophyta; Magnoliopsida; Zingiberales; Musaceae. The record is from RNAcentral.